This 164-nucleotide ribosomal RNA is filed under the name Clarkia franciscana. RNAcentral describes it as "5.8S ribosomal RNA". It matches the Rfam family "5.8S ribosomal RNA". From Rfam's summary of the family: 5.8S ribosomal RNA (5.8S rRNA) is a component of the large subunit of the eukaryotic ribosome. It is transcribed by RNA polymerase I as part of the 45S precursor that also contains 18S and 28S rRNA. RNAcentral also lists the same sequence under 1 other name. The record is from RNAcentral. Lineage: Eukaryota; Viridiplantae; Streptophyta; Magnoliopsida; Myrtales; Onagraceae.
AAAACGACUCUCGGCAACGGAUAUCUCGGCUCUCGCAUCGAUGAAGAACGUAGCGAAAUGCGAUACUUGGUGUGAAUUGCAGAAUCCCGUGAACCAUCGAGUCUUUGAACGCAAGUUGCGCCCUAAGCCAUUUGGCCGAGGGCACGCCUGCCUGGGCGUCAAUC